CUUGAGGAGCCUGAGGGCGUGGACUGGGCGGGGCUGAAGUGGAGGCCCGGACGGCGGUGCGUCAUGACGUCACGGAGCGCUUAUAUACUCGGUUCGGCCGCCAUAUCGGCCUUUCGGAGCUGUUCUCAGGAUUGAACAGGAAUGAUGCUGUGGACCUCUGUGAUGGGGUGUGUGCUAUCUCAAGCAGUUCUGGGGCAAAGAUGGAUGAAAACUGAUGGCUUAUGAAGAAGCUGUAUGUAAUGAGCGUGCAGGG
Long non-coding RNA from Meriones unguiculatus (Mongolian gerbil), 253 nucleotides. RefSeq lists it as uncharacterized. The transcript is spliced from 4 exons. Lineage: Eukaryota; Metazoa; Chordata; Mammalia; Rodentia; Muridae. The record is from RefSeq and is a predicted model, not a curated record.